RNAcentral lists this ribosomal RNA (577 nucleotides) under bacterium 1b12710. RNAcentral's name for it is "bacterial SSU rRNA". It matches the Rfam family "Bacterial small subunit ribosomal RNA", at positions 326 to 913 of the family's 1533-position model. The record is from RNAcentral.
ACGGCCCAGACUCCUACGGGAGGCAGCAGUGGGGAAUAUUGCACAAUGGGCGCAAGCCUGAUGCAGCGACGCCGCGUGAGGGAUGAAGGCCUUCGGGUUGUAAACCUCUUUCAGCAGGGAAGAAGCGCAAGUGACGGUACCUGCAGAAGAAGCACCGGCUAACUACGUGCCAGCAGCCGCGGUAAUACGUAGGGUGCGAGCGUUGUCCGGAAUUAUUGGGCGUAAAGAGCUCGUAGGCGGCCUGUCGCGUCGGAUGUGAAAGCCCGGGGCUUAACCCCGGGUCUGCAUUCGAUACGGGCAGGCUAGAGUUCGGUAGGGGAGAUCGGAAUUCCUGGUGUAGCGGUGAAAUGCGCAGAUAUCAGGAGGAACACCGGUGGCGAAGGCGGAUCUCUGGGCCGAUACUGACGCUGAGGAGCGAAAGCGUGGGGAGCGAACAGGAUUAGAUACCCUGGUAGUCCACGCCGUAAACGUUGGGAACUAGGUGUGGGCGACAUUCCACGUCGUCCGUGCCGCAGCUAACGCAUUAAGUUCCCCGCCUGGGGAGUACGGCCGCAAGGCUAAAACUCAAAGGAAUUGA